Molecule: long non-coding RNA, 4519 nt
Organism: Girardinichthys multiradiatus
Lineage: Eukaryota; Metazoa; Chordata; Actinopteri; Cyprinodontiformes; Goodeidae
Exons: 3
Source: RefSeq, a predicted model, not a curated record
AGACAUAUGACAACAAAGUUCAUGUUUGACCAUUGAAACCUGGAGCAUCAGUGCCUGUCCACUUAGAGAAACUUAGAAGAAAACUGAAGAUUAAGCCAUCUUUCGUUCAAGAAAUCACUCGUUGUUAUCCGAAGAAACAUCCCCAUCGGGUACAUGGAUGUGCCUCCCUCUUCAAAACCUCUCCAACCUCACUAGUUUCAGCAUCAGGGAAACACAGAUUUUUGGAGAGUGUCCCGUUUACAGACUCUCCCAACUGAACUAUGGAGCUCUGCAAGUUACCAAGUCACCAUGGGCAUCUUGGCCACUUCUCUGACCUCUUUUCUGGCCAGUCAGUUUCAGUGAAAAGCCAUGUCUUGGAGCAACUGACUCAUCAAUUUGAGCUUCUACGAGCAUUCAGCAUCAACAGAAAGAGCAUCUGCAUGGUCUCAAUUCUAUCAAAGUGACAGAAAUAUGUGUUAUAUAUACUGUCUCAGAGGAUGAAAAGCUGUUUACCUAAAACUACAAAUUUCCAUAGCCUAUUGGAACAUAAGGUAAAUAUGCAAUAGAGUGAUAGGGGAAAAAAUACUUAUUUAAUAAAUUAACGAAGAGAAGUAAAGAAAAUGUUUUCAGCUGAUAGACCAGUUAUAGAACACACAAAAAGUAUGUCUUUUCAUAUUUCCUUUAAUUUUCUUAUCAAUCAUUUUAUCAUAAAUUUAUCAUUUUUUAUUUUAUUUCAUUUAGUUUUAUUCAUUUUUUUUUUCAUCAUUUUAAUUAUUCUUUUUCAUUAUUUGUAUUUGUUAAUUAUUUAAUUAGCUUUGUGCCACUGUAAUGUACAGCUCUUAAUGUAUGUUAUGUACACACAACAUUAACCGGAACAAAAAAAAAAACAUAUUGUAAAUUAUUCCUGAAUAAAUAAUGUCUUAUAUAAAAACAGAGAGGGAGCCAGCUAACAUUAGCCUAACACCUCAGCAAACGUCUCCCUGUGCAAAGAUCCCCAGCAGAGUGAGAUGCAUGUUUACUGAAAUCUUUUUAGAGCUGUAGAGUGCCCACAAACGUUUUGUGGGGCUGAGAUCAGGGCUUUGUAAUGGCCAAUUUAAAACAUUGACUCUACUGUCCUUAUGUGACUUUGUGUCCAUUUGGAUGAUUCGUUGCAUCCAAGCUUUAACUUCCUGUUAUAUGUCUUGAGUUGUUGCCUUAAUAUUUUCAAAUAAUGUUCUUUCCUCUUGUUGCCAUCUAUCUUCUGAAGGGCACCAGUCUAUCCUGCAUCAACACCAUCCUCGUACUUCAGAGAUGAGAUUGUAGCAAUCUUAGUUUCAUAAGACCACAGGACUGGUUUCCAAAAAUGAUGUCAUUGUCCUUGCAAACUAUGAUCCGACUUUUUUAUCAAUACCUUUUUGCCUUUUUGAGUUCAUGCUGCUUUUUUUUUUACCUCUGUUGGACUUCACAGUUAUACACUUUAUACAUUCAUGGCCCACUCCCACUGCAGCCACAGUCUUCUACUAAUCUCACCAGGGGUUACGAGUUUUGCUCAACUGCAUCUCAAUGUUGUGUUGUGAAGCGGGGAGAACACACUUUUGUGUCAUUCUUCUUAAAUCCUCCUGUCACAAACCUGUAUGAUUGCCCAAGGGCACCCAAGGCAUUGGAUAGAAACCUCCAUUCCCAACUAAUUUCUAAAACCUCGCCCUGCCGCCUCGCAGCCUAAGCAAGUUUGAUUCGUCUAUCACCCCUGCGAAUAAUCAAAGCUGCUGUUUUUCUCUGUGGUGGCACAGAUAAAACAGUAAUUAAGAUAAACAUAAAUCUGAAGGUACUUAGAGUAAGGUGCCCUUUCUCUGGAUCUUGAGCACAUAAAAGCCCAAUUGAAGGUGCCGGUGUGAAUCUUGCAGCCAUGAGGAGGGUUGGCAGUAGCCGUAAACUCAUUUACCAGCCUUUCACUUCAAGCUAAUGGCUAAAUGAACAAUGACUUACACCCUACCUGGUCUCAUUAAACAUGACAUGUUUUAGGAUUCUACGCAGCAUUAAGCCAAUAUUGAUACAAAGCCCACUCGCCUCCCACUGUUAAACCUCUGGGUCGUGCUGUGCUAGGUGGGCUGAGGGAAGGGAAGGAGUUGUUGUGGGGCUGAACAGCAGUGUGCCUCCUCGCAAAGGUUUGUAAAGAUUACACCAAAUUAAUUAGGUUUCUGUUACUCUAAAUGACUUAUCUGAGGCCCAGCCUCCCCACUGGAUGCAAGACUCAACCUCAUGUGAUGCAUGCUAAUAAUACAUGUGUAGCUGUACUGUAGUGAGGGACCUUAAAUCUGGCUUACUCACUGCUUCCCAAAUGACUGCAUGCUAUCACUUGGGUUUUUGUGACAAGGCCGUGGCAAUUAGCUAGGGACAUGGAGGUGGAAGAAAUAAAAAAAAAAGGCAGAACACAUAAUAAAAAUUAAAUAAUUGCCUUGGUAAUUAUCCUCAUCUUUCUCACUCAAUGUCACAUGGAGACGCUGGCAACGCUCUGUAGGGAGUGAGGAAUUAGUCUGGGGCUUUUUUGUUGCUCUGUAAACUGGAUUAGUGCUCUGCCUGUCCCACCGUGGCAGGGGAGUGAUUGGAUUAACGGUGUGGAGAGCAGAGCAGCAUGGCAGGGGGAUAGAUUACGAGCCCAGACGGUCUCUUCGAUGGGUGUUCUGCUGGCUUCGUAGGGAGCCUUUGGGAGGCUGCAGACAUCUUAAAGGGUCCCCGAUAACCAUCUAGACACACUCGCACUCCCUGCUCUAACCGUGCUGCUAUCUCUGCUCUCCCAGCUCAAACAGCAGCGAACACAAGUUCACUCGGAGAGGCUAUGAUGUCCAUUAGGGCCCUCCCUGCUGCGCUGCUGCCAAGUGGAGAUAAAGUGGUAUCUCCUCUGGCUGGUGCAUACUGGUGGGUGGUGAAACUUUCUGAUGGAUUUUUUUACUCACAUAUACACAUUCACAAAGUGCAGUUGCUUGCAUCUAAUGUCAUGGUUUAUUUGUCUCUGAAUUCAACAGGUUGUUAAAACAAUGAGCAAGCUCAUCAGUUCUUGAAGUAAUUUAUUUAGUCCAUUUGCAUAUUGCUUAAACACCCAAAGAAUAGAAGGAGGUAGACCUAUUGUGAUGAUAAAGUUAUCAUAAAGGUGUUUUGUUUUUACUUUUUUAAUUCCAGUAAAUCAAGUGAAAAAGUUAAACGAAUAUAAUAUAAAGACUCAUUAUAUUCUCCAGAUCAAAGUUGUAAGACUGGGAAAAAGUUACAACUACUGCUUGAUUGGUAUCACGUUGUACUUAAAAUGCAAAAAAAAAAAAGGAGUCAGCAACUAAAGAAAGAGUGGACAACUUCUUGAAAAGAUGGAAUUUGAACUUAGGUUUGUGAGCUGAUCGAUUGAUGAUCAACCUAAAAGCAACCCAAAACAGGAUUAAAAGGGUAAAUAAUGACUUAGUAGUGAGUGGUCUCAAUGCCUCUGCUGAAUAGUUCUAAAAUUUGUUUAGAAAUGCUUGAUGCUGCCAGGAUCUGCCAUUUUGGAUUUUGUGUUAGCUUACUUUCUCAGUUAGGUGUUUCUAUUCCUUUGGGUUUAGUAGUUAUGUUUGUUUAUUCUUUCUGUCAUCCUGAUAGUUUUGUUCUCUCUCCUACCCCUUAGUUUAGUAGUUCUUUCUCCCUUCGCCUAUAGUUCCCUUGGUGGUUGCUUUCUCAUUUAUUUAUUACUUAGAAUGGUUUUCUCCUCUGGUUAUUAUUAGUACAAUUGUCCUUGCUUCUCUGGGUUUUGUAGUUUAGUUUCUCACUUACACAAUGUUUGUUGGAUGACUCAGUCAUCACUGCACAGAUGAGGAAUCUCAGUCAAGAGUGAUGCUGGCUGCAACAUCCCCACAUUGACAGCAAUGACUUGACAUCCCUGCACAACCAGAAGCUCCAUUGUUCCACUGAAGGAAGAAAGUAUAAUCUCUGUUAUGCCAGUAACACUGGAAGCCAUUAGGACGAUUACGUUCAAAUUUUUGCUAUCGGCGGAUAAAACUUUCAACCACUUUUCAAUGUCAGUGUUUGGUAUUCCCUUGCUUGGUUAAAAAGGGCAAGUUUGUGGUCUCAGAGAACUUGUAGCAUUUGAAGACAUUGUUUGUUCUUUAAGCCAUUCUCUUGUAAAUGCAUUCUUGUGGUUAUGGGGCUGCAGCCAGCAUCAGUAAUGGCCUUAAUGUUCUGUCUGUGUCUUCACUGCCAGUCAAGCAGAUACUCUAGCUUAGCUUAGGUGGUCUAGCAGUUGACUUUUGUUUGUCACACCUCCUUCAGGGUCUUAACCAACAUUUUAAAUAGGGCUCUUACUAUCUCCAACCCCAGCAGAGAUGAGUUUUUGCAAGAUGUCUUGCUUGUGUAUCUCAACAAUUGUGCAUUUGUGCUCUCUACAUUGAAAGACAGAAAAUGUUUUGGUCUUUGCCAUCAAGGCUCCAUAAGUGUAAAUUACUGACAGAAAACAGCCUGAAAGUCACUAUCAUACCCUAAUUUGGGCUUUUUGAGACUAAUGAGUUAUCAGUUUUGAAUUUAAAAUUGCUUGUGAUAAAUUGCA